This is a long non-coding RNA of Vespa velutina, 3017 nucleotides long. RefSeq lists it as uncharacterized. The record is from RefSeq and is a predicted model, not a curated record. NCBI's taxonomy places the organism in Eukaryota, Metazoa, Arthropoda, Insecta, Hymenoptera, Vespidae. The transcript is spliced from 2 exons.
UUAUACUUCUUUUUAAUACGUAAUAAAUACAUUAAAGAAAAAUGAAGAAAUAAAGAUAAUAAUUAUUGAAAUUAUAUUUAAAAGUUAAUUAUAAUAAAUUAACCAUGAAAGUUUCGUGUAAGUUGGAUAUCGACUUAAUUACUCACUAAAGAUAAAUUCUUGGUCCUCCUAUAACUGUAAGCUCUUUCAAGCAGGAUACGCUUUAAGUAUGAUCAAUGGGCUUCGAAGUAACUCUCUGACGAGCUUUACAAGUUUUAAUAAAUAUCACGGUCCUCUGAACUCUGUUAAAACUUAAUAAAUUAUCAUACCUUCGUAUUGUCGUAAUAAAGAAAAAGUUUCUUCUCUUUUUGUGUUGUGCGAUCAGGUUAACGAUACCUUCCUCCUGAUUUUCGUCGGAAUAUUCGAACAUGAACGUCAAAGGAACAACUGAGCCGAUUAGAAUUACUUUAUAAAUGCAUUACUUAUCAGCUAGAUAACAAUUUAUUAUCAGUUAUUAAACAAUUAAGACUUAUAUGAAAAGGAACAAAAUAAAUAAAUAAACACAGCGUCACGUUAUAAACUCGUUGUCUAGUGUUGAUAAGUUCUAGUUAUCGUAAUUUAUUUUUACGACGAUUGGUAUGGAAGAAAUAUAUAUCUGAAAGAGAGAGAGAGAGAGAGAGAGAGAGAGACAGAGAGAGAGAGAAAGAACUGAAUGUAUUUACUUCGUUAAUGAGAUAACAAAAUAUACGAAAGUUUUACUUAAAAUCAUGAAACUUUGUCCAAAGUAUAAUUUAUGACAGAAUUAAUAGUAUUAGAAUGGACUGGAGAAGAAAAAUAAGCUGGACUAUCAUAAAAGUGUAGCCGACUAAUUACAAGGACAUUAUAUUUACUACGCCUUCUUACGGAACCUUACGAUCGUCCGAGACGCGUAUCAGCCGUUUUAAGGAUCCAGAAGGAGUGGAGUGUGUUCUCGCUCGCAACAAGAAGAAGAUGAUCCAAAGAAGAAAAAAAGGAAGAAGAAGAUGAGAAUGAAGAAGAAAGAAGAAAAAGAAGAAGAAGAAGAAGAAGAAGAUCGGCGAUGCUGAGAGAGCCAAGUCGAGACGUGCUGGUAAUCGCCAGGCUGUCGUUAUUAAAUAUGAUUGCGCAACUCGAAAAGCGGCUCCAAAGGACGCGUAUUAUGACACUAUGGCAUGUAGUCGCGCUUCUAUGGGGCACACUGCGUCAUAUCUCGAUGUGUAUGACGAUACCUCUCUCUUUCUCUUUUUCUCUCUCUCUCUCUCUCUCUCUCUCUCUCUCUCUUUCUCUCUCUCUUUCUCUCUGUCUGUCUGUCUGUUUCUGUCUCUGUCUCUUUACCAGACUCGUAUUGCAGGUAAUACGCCUGCGAUCAGGGGCGUACACGAGCCUGGAUCGAUAUCUUCUUACGUAGAUAUUAUUAUUCUUCAUUCGUUCAGAGACGUCUCGAUCGAUCUCGUCCAUCCUUUGCUCGAAUAACUUCUAUAACUAUAUAUAUAUAUACAUAUAUAUAUUAUGCAGAUACAACAUCUUUGGAUGGAUCAGACUAGCUUGAAUUUCGUCCUUCUCUCUUUUUCCAUCUUUUGUUGGAGAACGAAAAAAAAGUACAGAAAAGAAAAAAAGAUAAAAGAAAAACCAUGAAGAAACAGGAAAGAACAAACAUGUUUUUUUCCUUCCGAAGAAGAUACCCAUUCGACGAGACAUCCUUUUCAUCGUCUACGAUUUCUCGUAACGAUAUCCUUUACGACUUAUAUCGAAUGCUUAAGCAUGUAUCGUUAUAUAUAUAUAUAUAUGUAUAUAGGUAUAUAAUGAAUGAACGGAUAUCUCAACCAAAAGCGAUAUCGUUGCUUAACUAAGCGGAUUUUUAUCAUUGCAAAAAGACGUAAACGCCCAGGUAAUAUUAUAUAAACUUCAACGAUCUUAGCUCAUCGAGAGAGACCAGUUAACACCACCUAUCGAGACUUCUAUGAUAUAAAGAAAGAAGGAGAACAAUGUAGUAACAAAAUGCUUCUCGAUUAAAUUCCCUCUUAAACGAAGAUCCAUUCAAUUUACUGGAAUGCAUUCAUAUUUAUUAUCGCCAAUACAAAUUCUAUUUAUAAAAUGAUCGUUUAUCAUCGAUUCGCGACCUAUCCAAAAGUCGAUGUUCAAUCGAUCCGUUUGACGUUAGGAAAUGCACACGCGUGCUUUUCCGCAUUAUAAUCGAUCCCUGGUAUGGUAUAUCUCGGCGUAUAGAUUAUAUUAUGCGAAAUCUUCUAUACGUGACUUUUUUAGAAACGUACAAGAAGAUGCACGAAUACAAAAUGAUAUAUAGAUAUAUAUAUAUAUAAUUAUGUAUAAAUGCAUACAUAUAUGUAUAUUCGCGGUUUUCUACAUGCGCCACCAACGUGACGAUCUCAUCUUUUCAUCGUCAGCUGACGCGAUCGAGUCGCAUGAUUUGCCCAUAGUUGAGCCGCGCCGUACAGUCUUGACAAGAAAAUUGUUUCUUGAAAAUUUAUCUUACGCGCGCGCGCGGAUCAAUAAUUUUCACCUUUUCUUCUUCUUUAUUCUUUCUUUUUUUUCUUCUUUUUUUUUUUUUUUUUUUUUGUUAGUUCGAAUCGACGAGGAAGAGAUGACGAUUUUUCUUUUUUUUUUCUUUCUUUUUUUUCUUUUUUUUUUCAUUCCGUCAGAAGGACACAAUCAUUGAAUUCAUUGCGACGACACAAGCAGCCCCCUCGGUCUUACGUUCCGUGGUGUAUCGAUUCGAUGUAAAUGGUAAAGCUUUUCGCGUGAUUUCUCAUCGAGACCAACGGGAUCGUCAUCGCGAAGAGAGAAUAAUCCUGCACAUUUUAUAGCGCGUCACAGGAAUGACACGAUGUAAAUGUCGGUAUAUGGCCGUGGAACUUCGCGAGAAAGGUUGCGUACAUUCGGUACGAAGAUUAAUAUCGGACGAUGCUGGGUGUUGCUUAUUGAAAUUCGCGACAUGGAUACGGUUCAUGAUACAUACGCGACUCGUUUCGCCGAAAAAAAAAAGAAAAAAGGGGUGGCCC